UACAGAGGGUGCAAGCGUUGUUCGGAAUCACUGGGCGUAAAGGGCGUGUAGGCGGCGGGGUGUGUCCGGUGUGAAAUCCCUCGGCUCAACUGAGGAAUGGCAUUGGAAACUACCUCGCUCGAGUGCGGGAGAGGGUGGCGGAAUUUCCAGAGUAGAGGUGAAAUUCGUAGAUACUGGAAGGAACACCUGAGGCGAAGGCGGCCACCUGGCCCGUAACUGACGCUGAUACGCGAAAGCGUGGGGAGCAAACAGG
This 253-nucleotide ribosomal RNA is filed under the name uncultured bacterium. RNAcentral describes it as "partial 16S ribosomal RNA". It matches the Rfam family "Bacterial small subunit ribosomal RNA", at positions 524 to 776 of the family's 1533-position model. The record is from RNAcentral.